GUGGCAGGCGACAAGCUCCCGUUGGAUUCGUUCCCGUACAUGGAGCUGGAGGAGGCCGUGCUCUGGGAAGUCGAUGGCCAAUGGGUCGUUCAAGAAGCAUUUGACUCGGACAUUGGUGCCAACCCCUCUGCUGAGGGUGGUGGUGACGACAAGGGUGUCGAUGGCCAAGCUGUGAAGGUGGUUGACACCUUCCGUCUUCAGGAGCGACCUGCCUUUGACAAGAAGCAGUUUGUCACUCACAUGAAGCGCUGCAUCAAGAUCCUCGGUGCCAAGCUUGAAUGAGAGGAGCAAGCUCAAGGCCCCUGA
RNAcentral lists this ribosomal RNA (306 nucleotides) under Triticum aestivum (bread wheat). RNAcentral's name for it is "partial small subunit ribosomal RNA". The record is from RNAcentral. Lineage: Eukaryota; Viridiplantae; Streptophyta; Magnoliopsida; Poales; Poaceae.